Urocitellus parryii (Arctic ground squirrel) is the source of this 662-nucleotide long non-coding RNA. RefSeq lists it as uncharacterized. NCBI's taxonomy places the organism in Eukaryota, Metazoa, Chordata, Mammalia, Rodentia, Sciuridae. The record is from RefSeq and is a predicted model, not a curated record.
CAAAGAUCAGGCAGUAGACAGAAACUUUGCAGCUGCUAGAAGAGGACAUCAGGGGAAGAAACUUCAAUGUACAGGUAUUUUAUAAUAAGCAUCUUUCAAUGAGCUGAAAAAGAUGACAUUACUAAACAAACUCACCUGUGGAUGCAGGGGGAACCCAGAGGCAGCUCCCAGCCAAGCAGGGCACAGGGACCGGCAUGGGGCUCUGCCAGGGCAGGGCAAGGAACUGGUCGGAGCCCAGAGGAUUCARCUGUCUUUGUCCCUAUGGCUAUUGUUACCUGAGUCCUUGCUUUGUCCUCCAGGAUGGUGUGGGAUAGAAGUUGUCUCUGGGGCUCCCAUGUUGUCUACACCUGCAGAGCAGCCUGGAUGGUUAGCCAAAGCCCACGGCCAUCAGACUCCAAUUCUUACACAUGCCAGAAAUUCUGGGCUUGAGGGGUUUGGGGAAGAGAGACUCGCAGGUAGAUGAGAGGCACAGUCUUCCAUCUUCUGAGCUUCUCUCUACCACGUUUGCAAAGACGAAACUUAAAACUCAAGCCACUUCUCCAAGUGGUCCGAAGCACUGGGGAGACUAGGAGACCSGCCAACUGCCCUGUCUGAACUUCAAAAUAAGAAGAGAAUGAAGCUGUGGAAUUCAAAAUGAAUAUAUACGCCGAAAGUUAAAGCAC